Molecule: ribosomal RNA, 382 nt
Filed under: uncultured eukaryote
Lineage: Eukaryota
Description: partial 18S ribosomal RNA
Rfam family: Eukaryotic small subunit ribosomal RNA
Source: RNAcentral
UGUAAGCGUAUACCAAAGUUGUUGCAGUUAAAACGCUCGUAGUCGGAAUUUGGCAGUUCCGGAUGUGUGCACGUCGUGUGCGCACUUCGCGGGGAUUGCUUUUGUGGUCUUGCGUAGGAUGAGGCACUUUUAUUAGUGAACGUCCUCACGCAACCACUUUUUACUGUGAGAAAAUCAGAGUGCUCAAAGCAGGCAUUUGCCGUGAAUGUAUUAGCAUGGAAUAAUAGAAUAGGACUUGGUUCUAUUUUGUUGGUAUGUUGGGACUGAGUAAUGAUUAAGAGGGACAGUUGGGGGCAUUUGUAUUUCGGUGCUAGAGGUGAAAUUCUUAGAUUACCGAAAGACAAACUGCUGCGAAAGCGUCUGCCAAGGAUGUUUUCAUUGA